This 395-nucleotide long non-coding RNA is filed under the name Pan troglodytes (chimpanzee). Its description in RNAcentral is "long non-coding RNA NONPTRT018522". The record is from RNAcentral. Lineage: Eukaryota; Metazoa; Chordata; Mammalia; Primates; Hominidae.
GUUCACCUCAGCCUUCUGAGCAGCUGUACAGGCACAUGCCACCAGGUCCAGCUAAUUUUUUAAUUUUUUUUUUUUUUUGUGGAGGUGGGGUCUUGCUAUUUUUCCCAGCUUUGUCUGGAACUCCUGGACUCAAGCAAUCCUUUCACCUCAACCUCGCGAUAUGCUGAAAUUAAUAGGCAUGAGCUGUUGCAUCCAGUCAAAAUCAAAUACCUUUAUCUUGCCUUCACUGUUGACUAGAGUCACAGAUAUACUCUUUUGUUAUACAAUGCUAGGUCUAUCUUGUCCAUCUUAUCAUCUCCUAUCUCCCCAAGAACCGUAAGCUCCAACCGCACCUCUAUAUUUUCAAUAUACUAUUUAUGUUUAUAGAAAAUUAGGUUACGUGUUUCCUUUUACUG